Molecule: ribosomal RNA, 422 nt
Filed under: uncultured Alistipes sp.
Lineage: Bacteria; Pseudomonadati; Bacteroidota; Bacteroidia; Bacteroidales; Rikenellaceae
Description: partial 16S ribosomal RNA
Rfam family: Bacterial small subunit ribosomal RNA
Source: RNAcentral
UGAGGAAUAUUGGUCAAUGGACGCAAGUCUGAACCAGCCAUGCCGCGUGCAGGAUGACGGCUCUAUGAGUUGUAAACUGCUUUUGUACGAGGGUAAACCCAGAUACGUGUAUCUGGUUGAAAGUAUCGUACGAAUAAGGAUCGGCUAACUCCGUGCCAGCAGCCGCGGUAAUACGGAGGAUCCAAGCGUUAUCCGGAUUUAUUGGGUUUAAAGGGUGCGUAGGCGGCUUUAUAAGUUGGAGGUGAAAUACCGUGGCUCAACCACGGAACUGCCUCCAAUACUGUGGAGCUAGAGAAUAGUUGCUGUGGGCGGAAUGUGUAGUGUAGCGGUGAAAUGCUUAGAUAUUACACAGAACACCGAUUGCGAAGGCAGCUCACAAAGCUAAAUCUGACGCUGAGGCACGAAAGCGUGGGGAGCAAACA